This 444-nucleotide long non-coding RNA is filed under the name Musa acuminata (dwarf banana). RNAcentral describes it as "long non-coding RNA (MACU_LNC001687)". The record is from RNAcentral. Lineage: Eukaryota; Viridiplantae; Streptophyta; Magnoliopsida; Zingiberales; Musaceae.
GAAACCAACUGGAUGCAUAGAAAUGCUGUAGACGUUUGAGAUGGUACACCAUUGCGAUUUCCUUUUUCUUUUUCUCAAAGAGAAGGUGCACGAGAUUCAUCAGUAGGUAAGCACUUGUGGCAAUUGAAAAUGUUAGUGAAAACUGGGAAACUCACACUGGCUUUGUCUUGGAUACAUUUGAGAUGAUGAUGCAGAGACUCGAUGUUACAGAUCUGAUAAGUUUGAUAAGAUUUUGGGGCAUUAUGCAGUUAUGAAAAUGCUCGCUUACUUUUCUUCUAUCUAUAUACAGGUGGAAAUUGGAAACUGUGUUACCUUCUACUCUGAGAAGGUAUGAUGUGUUCUUUCUAUUUUGCAUGUUCAUUUAAGGCUUGUCCUGACUUGUUACACCUCUCUAAUUUUUCUUUGCCCUUCAAGAACCACCAAAGUCCUUCCCGAGAAUUUACG